Molecule: unclassified non-coding RNA, 405 nt
Filed under: soil metagenome
Description: partial contains 5.8S ribosomal RNA, internal transcribed spacer 2, and large subunit ribosomal RNA
Rfam family: 5.8S ribosomal RNA (bases 1-121)
Source: RNAcentral
GAUGAAGAACGUAGCGAAAUGCGAUAAGUAAUGUGAAUUGCAGAAUUCAGUGAAUCAUCGAAUCUUUGAACGCACCUUGCGCCCUUUGGACAUUCCGAAGGGCAUGCCUGUUUGAGUAUCAUGAACACCUCAACUCUCACGGCUUGUCCGUGAUGAGCUUGGACUUUGGGGGUCUUGCCGGCCUGUGGUGGGCUCCUCUCAAAUGGAUCAGCUUGCCAGUGUUUGGUGGCAUCACAGGUGUGAUAACUAUCUGCGCUUGUGGUUUUCCAUCAGAUAACCUUCAGUGAUAUGGAGGUUCGCUGGAGCUCACAAAUGUCUCUCCUUAGUGAGGACAGCUCUUUGAACGUUUGAUCUCAAAUCAGGUAGGACUACCCGCUGAACUUAAGCAUAUCAAUAAGCGGAGGA